GAUGAACGCUGGCGGCGUGCCUAAUACAUGCAAGUCGAGCGAACGGACGAGAAGCUUGCUUCUCUGAUGUUAGCGGCGGACGGGUGAGUAACACGUGGAUAACCUACCUAUAAGACUGGGAUAACUUCGGGAAACCGGAGCUAAUACCGGAUAAUAUUUUGAACCGCAUGGUUCAAAAGUGAAAGACGGUCUUGCUGUCACUUAUAGAUGGAUCCGCGCUGCAUUAGCUAGUUGGUAAGGUAACGGCUUACCAAGGCAACGAUGCAUAGCCGACCUGAGAGGGUGAUCGGCCACACUGGAACUGAGACACGGUCCAGACUCCUACGGGAGGCAGCAGUAGGGAAUCUUCCGCAAUGGGCGAAAGCCUGACGGAGCAACGCCGCGUGAGUGAUGAAGGUCUUCGGAUCGUAAAACUCCGUUAUUAGGGAAGAACAUAUGUGUAAGUAACUGUGCACAUCUUGACGGUACCUAAUCAGAAAGCCACGGCUAACUACGAG
RNAcentral lists this ribosomal RNA (497 nucleotides) under uncultured bacterium. Its description in RNAcentral is "partial 16S ribosomal RNA". It matches the Rfam family "Bacterial small subunit ribosomal RNA", at positions 28 to 507 of the family's 1533-position model. The record is from RNAcentral.